GAUGCUGCCAGGGUCCCUGAAGAGGGAAGACACGCGGAAACAGACACCCCGAAGUUGAAGAUCGAGGUCAAUCCCAGUGAUGCCAUAGUGAGGGAGGGGGACUCUGUGACCAUGACCUGCGAGGUCAGCAGCAGCAACCCGAAGUACACGACGGUAUCCUGGCUCAAGGAUGGGACCCCGCUGAAGAAGCAGAAUGCACUCAUGCUAACCCUGCAAGAAGUGACCAAGGACCAGAGUGGGAAGUACUGCUGUCAGGUCUCCAAUGACGUGGGCCCGGGAAGGUCGGAAGAAGUGCUCCUGCAAGUGCAGCAUGUCCCGGAACCUUCCACGGUUCAGAUCCUCCAGUCACCGGCUGUGGAGGGAAGUGAAGUCAAGUUUCUUUGCACAUCACUGGCCAAUCCUCUUCCAACAAAUUACACGUGGUACCACAAUGGGAAAGAAAUGCAGGGAAGGACAGAGGAGAAAUUCCACAUCCCAAAGAUCCUCCCUUGGCACGCUGGGACGUAUUCCUGUGUGGCAGAAAACAUUCUUGGUACUGGACAGAGGGGCCCGGGAG
Molecule: small RNA, 556 nt
Filed under: Pongo abelii (Sumatran orangutan)
Lineage: Eukaryota; Metazoa; Chordata; Mammalia; Primates; Hominidae
Description: processed transcript
Source: RNAcentral